Molecule: ribosomal RNA, 331 nt
Filed under: uncultured eukaryote
Lineage: Eukaryota
Description: partial 18S ribosomal RNA
Rfam family: Eukaryotic small subunit ribosomal RNA
Source: RNAcentral
CCCUUAGGUGUUCUGGGCCGCACGCGCGCUACACUGACGAAGUCAGCGAGCAUGUCCUACGCCGACAGGUGCGGGGAAUCUUGUCAAACUUCGUCGUGAUGGGGAUUGAUUAUUGAAAUUCUUGAUCAUCAACGAGGAAUUCCUAGUAAGCGCAAGUCAGCAGCUUGCGUUGAUUACGUCCCUGCCCUUUGUACACACCGCCCGUCGCUACUACCGAUUGAAUGGUUUAGUGAGAUCUUCGGAUUGGCGCCACUGCGGCUCAGCAAUGGGCUCGGUGGAUGCCGAAAAGUUGAUCAAACUUGAUCAUUUAGAGGAAGUAAAAGUCGUAACA